Molecule: non-coding RNA, 905 nt
Organism: Camelina sativa (false flax)
Lineage: Eukaryota; Viridiplantae; Streptophyta; Magnoliopsida; Brassicales; Brassicaceae
Source: RefSeq, a predicted model, not a curated record
AACUUACUGAAAAACAAGAAGCGGCUCUCAAAAUUUCAUUCUUCCUCUAACCCUCGUUUACUCUCCCUCUCACUCAAUUAUUUCAUCUUCUCAAUCUUUUUCUCAAAAACAUUGAAGUAAACCACAUAUACUCAUCGAAAUCACCUAUUGGAAAUCAUGCUUCUCCUCCGACGAAAUCCUCAAGGGGAUUUGAGAAACCGAAAUCGAUAAGGGGAUUGAUGAUGGAAGGAAGAAGAAUCAUAGAAAACCCUAGACCUUGUGAUGGUAGAAGUGUUGUCGCAAAGAAGAGGUCUCGUCCCGAUGGAUUCGUCAACAGCGGUAAAAAGCUCAACGCCGAGAAAUCUCGCCUCAUAUGGAUCGAGCUUUCUCAAUCAGCACCGCUCAAGAGAGAUUCUGAGACAUGCGUCUCGUGUAUGUAUCAAAGCUAUGGAGGAAGACUCAAUUUAAUUUCAUAAGAUUUCUGCACACAACAACCUUCCUGUUGUUUUGUCAAGCAACCUUGCGUAAGCUCGCUAACUCAUUUUACUUUCCAAUGAUUUGCUUCAAUAGCUCAUAAGGUUUCAACUUUGGGUCCGAUAAGAUUUGGUUUCUAUUUAAUUCUUGAGAUAUGGUUGUUGGAUUAUGUGAGGAAAAGAGGGAUGGUCACACCACUAAGCUUCACAGCUUUGGAGUUUCUUUGCAGCUUCAGUUGUCGAAGAUGAUGUUUGGCUUACAGAGAAAGCCACAGCCAAGCACACUCUUAGACAGAGCUCAUGAUGUACAAUUUUAUUUCAAAGCGGAAGGUACUUGAAGAAAUGAGUUGCUCUGGGAACAUUAGUGGGAACUACUUAGGUUUCAAUGAUGGAAUACAAAGCAAUUGAGAAUGUGCUACAAACCAUUUAUUAUGUAGUUGUUCAUCUAUUUUU